AACGAACGCUGGCGGCAUGCCUAACACAUGCAAGUCGAACGAGACCUUCGGGUCUAGUGGCGCACGGGUGCGUAACGCGUGGGGAUCUGCCCUUGGGUUCGGAAUAACAGUUAGAAAUGACUGCUAAUACCGGAUAAUGUCUUCGGACCAAAGAUUUAUCGCCCAGGGAUGAGCCCGCGUAGGAUUAGCUAGUUGGUGAGGUAAAGGCUCACCAAGGCGACGAUCCUUAGCUGGUCUGAGAGGAUGAUCAGCCACACUGGGACUGAGACACGGCCCAGACUCCUACGGGAGGCAGCAGUGGGGAAUAAUUGGACAAUGGCGAAAGACCUGAUCCAGCAAUGCCGCGUGAGUGAUGAA
RNAcentral lists this ribosomal RNA (357 nucleotides) under uncultured bacterium. RNAcentral describes it as "bacterial SSU rRNA". It matches the Rfam family "Bacterial small subunit ribosomal RNA", at positions 29 to 412 of the family's 1533-position model. The record is from RNAcentral.